This 253-nucleotide ribosomal RNA is filed under the name uncultured bacterium. Its description in RNAcentral is "partial 16S ribosomal RNA". It matches the Rfam family "Bacterial small subunit ribosomal RNA", at positions 524 to 776 of the family's 1533-position model. The record is from RNAcentral.
UACGUAGGGUCCGAGCGUUGUCCGGAAUUACUGGGCGUAAAGAGCUCGUAGGUGGUUUGUCGCGUUGUUCGUGAAAACUCACAGCUUAACUGUGGGCGUGCGGGCGAUACGGGCAGACUGGAGUACUGCAGGGGAGACUGGAAUUCCUGGUGUAGCGGUGGAAUGCGCAGAUAUCAGGAAGAACACCCGUGGCGAAGGCGGUUCUCUGGGACGGUACUGACGCUGAGACGCGAAAGCGUGGGGAGCGAACAGG